GAGACUGCCGAGGACGAACUCGGAGGAAGGUGGGGAGUGACGUCAAAUCAUCAUGCCCCUUAUGUCCUGGGCUACACACGUGCUACAAUGGCUGGUACAAAGAGACGCAAGACCGCGAGGUGGAGCAAAUCUCAAAAACCAGUCCCAGUUCGGAUUGCAGGCUGCAACUCGCCUGCAUGAAGUCGGAGUUGCUAGUAAUCGCAGAUCAGAAUGCUGCGGUGAAUGCGUUCCCGGGUCUU
Molecule: ribosomal RNA, 239 nt
Filed under: uncultured Eubacteriales bacterium
Lineage: Bacteria; Bacillati; Bacillota; Clostridia; Eubacteriales
Description: uncultured Clostridiales bacterium partial 16S ribosomal RNA
Rfam family: Bacterial small subunit ribosomal RNA
Source: RNAcentral